This 468-nucleotide ribosomal RNA is filed under the name uncultured bacterium. RNAcentral describes it as "partial 16S ribosomal RNA". It matches the Rfam family "Bacterial small subunit ribosomal RNA", at positions 28 to 507 of the family's 1533-position model. The record is from RNAcentral.
GACGAACGCUGGCGGCGUGCUUAACACAUGCAAGUCGAACGGAAAGGCCCUGCUUUUGUGGGGUGCUCGAUUGGCGACCGGGUGAGUAACACGUGAGUAUCCUGCCCUUGACUUUGUGAUAACUUCAGGAAACUGGGGCUAUUACCGGAUAGGAUCUCCUGCUCCAUGGUGGGGAUUGGAAAAUUUCGGCGGUUGUGGAUGGACUCGCUGCUUAUCAGCUUGUUGGGGGGGUAGUUGCUUACCAAGGCUUUGACGGGUAGCCGGCCUGAGAGGGUGAACGGGGACAUUGGGACUGCGAGAGGGAGCAGAAUCGAACGGGACGCAGUAGGGGAGAGUAUUGCACAAUGGCGGCACGCGAGAUGCAGAAACGGUGCGUGCGGGAUGAUGGCCUACGAGUUGUAAACAGAUUUCGAAGGUGCCGAAGAGUGAGUGACGGUAAUGGGUAAAGAAGCACCGGCUAACUACGUG